ACAAAGCGCAGGCGCAGCGGGUUGUGUGGCAGCAGCAUCGAGUAGCGGCCGCUUUGGCAGCAACAUCCGCAACAGGUGUAGACAAGGUCCCGCCUGACUCCGCCCUGGAAAGUCCUUUUGAAGAAAUGGCCCUGGUGAGGGGCGGCUGGCUGUGGAGACAGAGCUCCAUCCUCCGCCGCUGGAAGCGGAACUGGUUUGCCCUGUGGCUGGACGGGACCCUGGGAUACUACCAUGAUGAGACAGCGCAGGAUGAGGAGGACCGUGUGCUCAUCCACUUCAAUGUCCGUGACAUAAAGAUCGGCCAAGAGUGCCAUGAGGUGAGCCAGGCACAGUUCCUGCCCUCCAGGUGCUGGUACUGGAGGAAGAUGAAAUGAAAUUAGGAGGCCCAGAAAAGCAAAGUGGCCCAGAGUCACAGCAAAUCUCCACAUUCCUCCACCAAGGCCCAGGCCACAGUUCUAACAGGAUGUGCAGCCCCCAGAGGGCCGGAGCCGAGAUGGCCUGCUGACUGUGAACCUACGGGAAGGCGGCCGCCUGCACCUCUGUGCGGAGACCAGG
RNAcentral lists this small RNA (555 nucleotides) under Pongo abelii (Sumatran orangutan). RNAcentral describes it as "processed transcript". The record is from RNAcentral. Lineage: Eukaryota; Metazoa; Chordata; Mammalia; Primates; Hominidae.